ACCCGCUGAACUUAAGCAUAUCAAUAAGCGGAGGAAAAGAAACCAACAGGGAUUGCCCUAGUAACGGCGAGUGAAGCGGCAACAGCUCAAAUUUGAAACCUGGCGCAAGCCCGAGUUGUAAUUUGUAGAGGAUGCUUCUGGGCAGCGGCCGGUCUAAGUUCCUUGGAACAGGACGUCACAGAGGGUGAGAAUCCCGUAUGUGAUCGGUUGGCACCCGCUACGUAGCUCCUUCGACGAGUCGAGUUGUUUGGGAAUGCAGCUCUAAAUGGGAGGUGAAUGCCUUCUAAAGCUAAAUACCGGCCAGAGACCGAUAGCGCACAAGUAGAGUGAUCGAAAGAUGAAAAGCACUUUGGAAAGAGAGUUAAAAAGCACGUGAAAUUGUUGAAAGGGAAGCGCAUGCAACCAGACUUGUCCGCGGUGUUCCGCCGGUCUUCUGACCGGUCUACUCGCCGCGGGCAGGCCAGCAUCAUCUGGGAGCGCCGGAUAAAGGUAGCGGGAAUGUGGCCCCUCGGGGUGUUAUAGCUCGCUACACAAUACGGCGCCUCCCGGGUGAGGUCCGCGCUUCGGCUAGGAUGCUGGCGUAAUGGUUGUAUGCGGCCCGUCUUGAAACACGGACCAAGGAGUCUACCAUCUAUGCGAGUGUUCGGGUGUCAAACCCCUACGCGCAAUGAAAGUGAACGGAGGUGGGAACCGCAAGGUGCACCAUCGACCGAUCCUGAUGUCUUCGGAUGGAUUUGAGUAAGAGCAUAGCUGGUGGGACCCGAAAGAUGGUGAACUAUGCCUGAAUAGGGUGAAGCCAGAGGAAACUCUGGUGGAGGCUCGCAGCGGUUCUGACGUGCAAAUCGAUCGUCAAAUUUGGGUAUAGGGGCGAAAGACUAAUCGAACCAUCUAGUAGCUGGUUCCUGCCGAAGUUUCCCUCAGG
This 922-nucleotide ribosomal RNA is filed under the name Neocatenulostroma microsporum. RNAcentral's name for it is "LSU rRNA". It matches the Rfam family "Eukaryotic large subunit ribosomal RNA", at positions 23 to 977 of the family's 3401-position model. Lineage: Eukaryota; Fungi; Ascomycota; Dothideomycetes; Mycosphaerellales; Teratosphaeriaceae. The record is from RNAcentral.